CUUUAAUCCUAUCUUUGUUAAAGGGAUUAGCUAUGGGGUGGGGAAGACAUAAAAGCGUAGAAAGAACCAUUCUUUGUUAUGUUAUGAAGGUAAGAAAAGGAGGAGGGAUGAACAGCCGAGAUACUUGGAAUAAUUCUACCAUCAACCCCAAAAUUUUAAUUAGCCCACUUCUACAUGGAUUGGAGGAGAGAAGAUGAGAUAGUAGAAGAACUCUGUACAGCAGUAAUUCUUGUUCUCACUUUAACUUUCCCUCCAAAUUUCUGUUUUUAUCCAAAAUACCAUGGAGAUAGAGGAAUUAAAUGGUGGCUAUUGUGUUUAGAGUGAAACAUGACCAAACAGUUUGCUUAUGAGUAUAAACUGCAAGUGGUCUCCUGAGAAGAAACCAACAUUAGGUAACUGAUUUUGAUUGGAAUAGGAUGCUGGACAGGUCUUUUGGGGAAAUAGAUAAAUAAGUGAGUAGCGAUGAGCCAGGAAGAUUUGGACAGCAGCUUUGGUGGCUUUAUUGAAUGUGGAGCUGUCCAACUAAAUGAACUAUUUUUGCAUUGUCAAGUGGCCAGAAGAUAAGAGGCUAAUGGAAUAUUGGAUGAAGAGUUCAGUGGUCAUGAGGCUGCAAGAAUGAUUUGCGCAGCAGCAGACCUGGUGAUAUUGAAUAUGCUGGUAAUCAUGGAUUCAUAGCAAAGGAUGGAGAUUAAGGAGUAAGGACAACAUUGUCAAGGACUGGGCUCAUUUUUUCCUUUUGUCGUUGUCAGAAGGCUAGUGUUGCCAAGCUGGAAACUUUGGUAUCUGUAUCGACUGACAAGCUGGAGCUAAGGGUCUACGGUUUCAAUGACAAGCUUCCAGCUCUGUUGUCAAAGAUUUUGAAAACAACCGAAAGUUUCAUGCCAAUUUCUGAUCGUUUUAUGGUUAUUAAAGAAGAUAUGGAGCGAAAGUUAAAGAACACCAAUGUGAAGCCUCUGAGUCACUCUGCAUACUUGAGAGUGCAAGUUUUGUUCCAGAGAUUGUAUGAUGUUGAUGAGAAGUUGCACAUUUUAAGUGGACUUUCUAUUUCUGAUGUGAAGUCAUUUAUUCCUCAGCUUUGGUCCAAGGUGUACAUUGAAGGCCUCUGUCAUGGAAAUUUGUCAGAAAAAGAAGCAGUCAGGCUUUCAGAUAUAUUUAAAACAAAUUUUGGUGUACAACCACUUCCAAUUGAACUGAUGCGUAGUGAACAGUGUAUUUGUCUUCCUCCUUCUGCUAACCUCAUUAGAGAUGUCAGUGUGAAGAAUAAGUCUGAAACAAAUUCGGUGAUUUAGCUUCAAAUUGAGCGGGAAUUGAGGAUCGAGUCCCUCAGAUUGAGAGCCCUGAUAGAUCUUUUCAAUGAAAUUGUGGAGGAACCACUUUUCAAUCAGCUAAGAUCUGGAAAUAGGACGAAGGAGCAGCUUGGUUAUACUGUUCAUUGUGGCCCGUGGGUUACUUGCAAUAUAUUUGGAUUUUAUUUUUGCGUUCAGUCAGCUGAGUACAACCCAAUCUACUUGAGGGACAGUUGAGAACUUUAUAAAUAGACUGGACGAGUUGAUGCAAUGACUGGAUGAUGCCUCUUUUGAGAAUUACAGAGCUGGGCCAAUUGCAAAGAUCCAUCCCUCCAUUAUGAAACCAAUCGAUAUUGGUUACAGAUUACCGAUAAAAUGUAGUGUAUAUAUCCUCUCUGCCUGCUGGAAUGCUUUGCCUAGACCUUUCUAAUGCUCGUGCUCUGAACUAUUCAAAUAAAUGUUGAUCUGCAAGUAUAUGUUUGACUAUACAAAACAGGAAGCAGAAUGACUCAGAAGCAUUCAGAAGGACGAUGUCAUGAACUGGUACAAAAACAAAUUUGCAACAGUCAUCUCCCAAGUGUCGGAGACUGACUUGCAAUUCGUGUUUGGGGAUGCGAAACAGACUUGAAAUAUGCUGAAGCACGGCCGGAGUCUGUACAAGUCAUUGAAGACCUUGCAGCCUUUAAGAUGCCUUUAAAAUGCUCAGUUGUUGAACAUUUGUAGAUGGUUUCUGAAUUUUUGAUGGAAACUGAGCAUUUUGAGGUCUUAUUGUUUGCCAGGUAUUAUUUGCGUUGAUUACAACCCACCUGGAGGAUGAAAGUGAAAAUCAAAACCAUUGUAGAUACAUUGAUAUAAAAAAUUAUAUUAAUUCACUCAAUUUUUUUUAGUGAAAAUAUAUUGCUGGUUUUUUUUUUU
Molecule: RNA transcript, 2201 nt
Organism: Rosa rugosa (rugosa rose)
Lineage: Eukaryota; Viridiplantae; Streptophyta; Magnoliopsida; Rosales; Rosaceae
Gene name: nardilysin-like
Exons: 9
Source: RefSeq, a predicted model, not a curated record